UGGAUCGUCCUGUAAUUAUUUUGACAAAUAAUUUAAUUUGCUGUUUUCAGGAAUUUGUCCACUCUUUUGCCUCAGUUUUCACAACUGGUGUUUUAUCACUGGCUGCCUGCUGUGACUGUUUCCUCUAAUAACUCAAGAGUAAUUUAACAACACGAAGUGUGACUCUCCAGAGCUGGUGACUUUUAGGGAGAUAUUGUUAGCAAAAUGUGCUUUUCGUCAUCAAAUGUCUUCACUAUUAGCUGUCAGUGUUGUUCGCAUGACCAGUCGACUACGUGACUUUGCGAACAAGGCGAGUUUCUCGCUGGUCCCUGCUACAGCCUUGGCACGCCCCAUCUUCUAUAGGUCCGUGACAGCUACUGCUUCUCACAUAAGUAAUUUUGGGGCCACUGUGAUGUACUCUCAACCAAGGAUUUUUUUUUGUCUUCUCCUUGCCUGUCUACUUACUUGAAAGUAACAAUCCCAUGCGAAGUCCACAGGCACCUUUUCUGAAACUGCUCCACUUCCCCAAGCAGAUGAGGGAAGAGAUGGGAGGAAAAUCCUUCGAAUGAGACGUGGGCUGGGACAGCGAGCGAGCUCUUCCUGUUACAAAAUUGACUUUUGGCUGUAUUCAGGUGGACCCCUACUCCUUUGUACAAUAUUCAUCUCUGUGAUUAUGUGAGAGAAGGGUCGUGGCCAUCGUGUCGCUGUGGUACACCAGGUCCCAGAAUGGCAGCUGACGUGAGUAGCUACCGAAGUCAUGCUGUGGGAUGUGACGAUCAGCAGCUCCAGGUGUAACAGCUGCAUCUGAAGUUAACAUGAGGGAAGCCCUCUCAGGGAAGGGGAGCAACAUUGUAACUGUGAGCCUGACUCCCUGGUCUCUGUGGAUACAUUCUAGCCCCCAAGUGCCGGGAUGAUUAAGCUCCUCUCACUGUUGCAAAAUACAUGAUCUGCUAGUUCUGUGACCCUUGCUUAUGUAUAUCUCCUGGCUGUGAUAAGACAACUUUAUUCUCUGAGUUCCCCAGGAACAUGACGACCUCCAGAAAGAAAAAUUCUGUUGGUACCCAUCACGAAUGACAGAAGAAAGAGAUUAUGUGACACUCUGUAGUUUGUCCCACCGGGUGGUUGACAUCCUUAACCCCCCUCCUUCCCCGCCCAUUUCCCUACCUAACUGCCUCGCGAUUCUGUAUGAUUUUAAGAUGGCUCUUCAGGACACCAGUCCACCAUCUUCCGAUUAUGCUGGCUAAUCAUCUAAAUUUUCCUCUCUCGACCACUGGCUUGUUUACAAUUGACGGGCACCAGAUUGCGGUGAGCAGAAUGAGCCCCUUUUUACU
Molecule: long non-coding RNA, 1310 nt
Filed under: Equus asinus (donkey)
Lineage: Eukaryota; Metazoa; Chordata; Mammalia; Perissodactyla; Equidae
Description: lncRNA (ENSEASG00005036578.1)
Source: RNAcentral